AUUGAACGCUGGCGGCAUGCCUUACACAUGCAAGUCGAACGGCAGCGGACCUUCGGGUGCCGGCGAGUGGCGAACGGGUGAGUAAUAUAUCGGAACGUACCUUUCAGUGGGGGGAUAACGUAGCGAAAGUUACGCUAAUACCGCAUAUUCUGUGAGCAGGAAAGCAGGGGAUCGCAAGACCUUGCGCUGAUUGAGCGGCCGAUAUCAGAUUAGCUAGUUGGUGAGGUAAAGGCUCACCAAGGCGACGAUCUGUAGCGGGUCUGAGAGGAUGAUCCGCCACACUGGAACUGAGACACGGUCCAGACUCCUACGGGAGGCAGCAGUGGGGAAUUUUGGACAAUGGGCGCAAGCCUGAUCCAGCCAUGCCGCGUGAGUGAAGAAGGCCUCGGUU
Molecule: ribosomal RNA, 391 nt
Filed under: uncultured bacterium
Lineage: Bacteria
Description: bacterial SSU rRNA
Rfam family: Bacterial small subunit ribosomal RNA
Source: RNAcentral